UACGUAGGGGGCAAGCGUUGUCCGGAAUCAUUGGGCGUAAAGCGCGUGUAGGCGGCCCGGUAAGUCCGCUGUGAAAGUCGGGGGCUCAACCCUCGGAUGCCGGUGGAUACUGUCGGGCUCGAGUACGGAAGAGGCGAGUGGAAUUCCUGGUGUAGCGGUGAAAUGCGCAGAUAUCAGGAGGAACACCUAUUGCGAAGGCAGCUCGCUGGGACGUCACUGACGCUGAGACGCGAAAGCGUGGGGAGCAAACAGG
This 253-nucleotide ribosomal RNA is filed under the name uncultured bacterium. Its description in RNAcentral is "partial 16S ribosomal RNA". It matches the Rfam family "Bacterial small subunit ribosomal RNA", at positions 524 to 776 of the family's 1533-position model. The record is from RNAcentral.